This 460-nucleotide ribosomal RNA is filed under the name uncultured bacterium. RNAcentral describes it as "partial 16S ribosomal RNA". It matches the Rfam family "Bacterial small subunit ribosomal RNA", at positions 338 to 795 of the family's 1533-position model. The record is from RNAcentral.
CCUACGGGUGGCUGCAGUGAGGAAUAUUGGUCAAUGGACGCAAGUCUGAACCAGCCAUGCCGCGUGCAGGAAGACGGCUCUAUGAGUUGUAAACUGCUUUUGUACGGGGGUAAACGCAGACACGCGUAUCUGUCUGAACGUGUCCUACGAAUAAGCAUCGGGUAACUCCGUGCCAGCAGCCGCGGUAAUACGGAGGAUUUACGGGUUAUCGGGGUUUAUUGGGUUUAAAGGGUGCGUAGGCGGUCGGUUAAGUCAGAGGUGAAAUCCCGCGGCUCAACUUCGGAAUUGCCUUUGAUACUGUACGCCUUGAGAGUAGGUGCGGAAGGCGGAAUGUAUGGUGUAGCGGUGAAAUGCUUAGAGAUCAUACAGAACACCGAUUGCGAAGGCAGCUUACCGAGCUACUACUGACGUUGAGGCACGAAAGCGUGGGGAGCAAACAGGAUUAGAUACCCGUGUAGUC